RNAcentral lists this long non-coding RNA (682 nucleotides) under Rosa chinensis. RNAcentral describes it as "sRNA RchiOBHm_Chr5g0057641". Lineage: Eukaryota; Viridiplantae; Streptophyta; Magnoliopsida; Rosales; Rosaceae. The record is from RNAcentral.
CUCUUAUCUUUUUCGCCCUUCUCUAUCUCUGACGGCGUUCUACCAAAGCUCUGUCUCUAAGGCUCCUCUGAAUCUCCCAUCUUUGAAGUUCUCAUCUCUGUGAGCUAGGUUAUUCGUUGCUGUUCCAAUUAUUGAAAUUUUUGGAUUCGAUACAGCUCGAUUGAUCAAAGCACCAACCAUCGCAUUCUUUGCUCUGUUAAAGGGUUAAGCAACAGGUUUCUGUUUGGGAUUUCACUCUCUGAUAGGCCUGUGUGGCAACAAUUCAUUAUUUGCUCUUCUGGGUUGUUCUUUGGCUACCUUGUCAAUUGUGUCUGUGAGGAGGAGAAAUUGGAUUGGAAUAAUGAAAGUAAAGGCAGCAAAUUAAAAAUAGAGAAACAAAAAAGAAUAGUCUACUUAAUUGCGAGGUGUUAAGGGGUUUUGUUCUAUAGGACUUUCAGAUUAGGUGGCUUUCUAUUGGACUUCUUAUUUGCUCAUAAAAAGUGCUGCGCAAAACAGUGGAUUGCUAUCUUACACAUUUUUGAAGACCACAGGAAAGAAGACAUUUAUUUUUGAUUUUGAAUUGUUGAGAGCACAAGGAUCGCUAAGUUGGUUUUGUUAUUGGUUUUAGACUAUUUUUGUUACUCCUUAGGUUAGGAAACACUUUGAUUGUUACUUUGGUUUUAUUAUUAUGAGAUUUAUUAUU